This 498-nucleotide ribosomal RNA is filed under the name Bergeyella zoohelcum. Its description in RNAcentral is "bacterial SSU rRNA". It matches the Rfam family "Bacterial small subunit ribosomal RNA", at positions 9 to 497 of the family's 1533-position model. The record is from RNAcentral. Lineage: Bacteria; Pseudomonadati; Bacteroidota; Flavobacteriia; Flavobacteriales; Weeksellaceae.
GAGUUUGAUUAUGGCUCAGGAUGAACGCUAGCGGGAGGCCUAACACAUGCAAGCCGAGCGGGAUUUGUUGGUUAGCUUGCUAACUAAUAAUGAGAGCGGCGUACGGGUGCGUAACACGUGUGCAACCUGCCUUUAUCUGGGGGAUAGCCUUUCGAAAGGAAGAUUAAUACCCCAUAAUAUAUUAAUUGGCAUCAAUUGAUAUUGAAAGCUCCGGCGGAUAGAGAUGGGCACGCGUAAGAUUAGCUAGUUGGUGAGGUAACGGCUCACCAAGGCUGCGAUCUUUAGGGGGCCUGAGAGGGUGAUCCCCCACACUGGUACUGAGACACGGACCAGACUCCUACGGGAGGCAGCAGUGAGGAAUAUUGGACAAUGGGUGAGAGCCUGAUCCAGCCAUCCCGCGUGAAGGACUAAGGACCUAUGGUUUGUAAACUUCUUUUAUACAGGGAUAAACCUACUCUCGUGAGGGUAGNUGAAGGUACUGUAUGAAUAAGCACCGCA